ACCAGCAUCAUAUGAGGUCGUAAAAGACGAUGUCAGAUCUUUAGAUGACCUAAAAUCCAGCGCUUGAACCAGCAUCAUAUGAGGUCGUCACAGACGAUGUCAGAUCUUAAGGUGACCUAAAAUCCAGCGCUUGAACCAGCAUCAUAUGAGGUCGUCACAGACGAUGUCAGAUCUUUAGGUGACCUAAAAUCCAGCGCUUGAACCAGCAUCAUAUGAGGUCGUCAAAGACGAUGUCAGAUCUUUAGAUGACCUAAAAUCCAGCGCUUGAACCAGCAUCAUAUGAGGUCGUCACAGACGAUGUCAGAUCUUAAGAUGACCUAAAAUCCAGCGCUUGAACCAGCAUCAUAUGAGGUCGUCACAGACGAUGUCAGAUCUUAAGAUGACCUAAAAUCCAGCGCUUGAACCAGCAUCAUAUGAGGUCGUCACAGACGAUGUCAGAUCUUUAGGUGACCUAAAAUCCAGCGCUUGAACCAGCAUCAUAUGAGGUCGUCACAGACGAUGUCAGAUCUUUAGGUGACCUAAAAUCCAGCGCUUGAACCAGCAUCAUAUGAGGUCGUCACAGACGAUGUCAGAUCUUUAGGUGACCUAAAAUCCAGCGCUUGAACCAGCAUCAUAUGAGGUCGUCACAGACGAUGUCAGAUCUUUAGGUGACCUAAAAUCCAGCGCUUGAACCAGCAUCAUAUGAGGUCGUCACAGACGAUGUCAGAUCUUUAGGUGACCUAAAAUCCAGCGCUUGAACCAGCAUCAUAUGAGGUCGUCACAGACGAUGUCAGAUCUUUAGGUGACCUAAAAUCCAGCGCUUGAACCAGCAUCAUAUGAGGUCGUCACAGACGAUGUCAGAUCUUUAGGUGACCUAAAAUCCAGCGCUUGAACCAGCAUCAUAUGAGGUCGUCACAGACGAUGUCAGAUCUUUAGGUGACCUAAAAUCCAGCGCUUGAACCAGCAUCAUAUGAGGUCGUCACAGACGAUGUCAGAUCUUUAGUUGACCUAAAAUCCAGCGCUUGAACCAGCAUCAUAUGAGGUCGUCACAGACGAUGUCAGAUCUUUAGGUGACCUAAAAUCCAGCGCUUGAACCAGCAUCAUAUGAGGUCGUCACAGACGAUGUCAGAUCUUUAGGUGACCUAAAAUCCAGCGCUUGAACCAGCAUCAUAUGAGGUCGUCACAGACGAUGUCAGAUCUUUAGGUGACCUAAAAUCCAGCGCUUGAACCAGCAUCAUAUGAGGUCGUCACAGACGAUGUCAGAUCUUUAGGUGACCUAAAAUCCAGCGCUUGAACCAGCAUCAUAUGAGGUCGUCACAGACGAUGUCAGAUCUUUAGGUGACCUAAAAUCCAGCGCUUGAACCAGCAUCAUAUGAGGUCGUCACAGACGAUGUCAGAUCUUAAGAUGACCUAAAAUCCAGCGCUUGAACCAGCAUCAUAUGAGGUCGUCAAAGACGAUGUCAGAUCUUUAGAUGACCUAAAAUCCAGCGCUUGAACCAGCAUCAUAUGAGGUCGUCACAGACGAUGUCAGAUCUUUAGAUGACCUAAAAUCCAGCGCUUGAA
Molecule: long non-coding RNA, 1542 nt
Organism: Myxocyprinus asiaticus (Chinese sucker)
Lineage: Eukaryota; Metazoa; Chordata; Actinopteri; Cypriniformes; Catostomidae
Exons: 7
Source: RefSeq, a predicted model, not a curated record